This is a non-coding RNA of Cinara cedri, 2013 nucleotides long. NCBI's taxonomy places the organism in Eukaryota, Metazoa, Arthropoda, Insecta, Hemiptera, Aphididae. The record is from the annotation of a GenBank genome assembly.
GGUAUUUUUUUUUUUCCCCGGACAUUUUUUUUUUCUUUUUUAUUGUAAAAACAUUAAUUAUAAAUAUUGUUACAUAAAAUCAAAAUGUUUACAAUAAAAUAUACGCUUAUUCUUUAAGCGCGACGCUUGCGAUGGGCGGCAGAGGGUUGCAUUACAUAUCUAACAAGACAAACAAAUACGCACACCAAUAAUGAAUACAAAUUAAUUUAAAUAUAAUAAAUUAAUAGCUUAGAACAGGACAAAGUGAUAUAAGACAAUAUUAAUAACGGUACAUUUGAGAACUCUUUAGACACCGUCCCGUUCUUUACAUUUAAAUAUGAUUUCCUUAAGUUAUUAAAUUAUUUUAUCGAAACUAAAUACUAACCAUAAGUUAAUUUGUCAUUUUUUAUACAAGCAGCUAAAAUUCUAAUAGAUUCACGAAUUGAAGAGUAUAAUACGGGGUUUUUUUUUUUUUUUAAAAAUACAAUGGUAUUGAAUUGUAAUGUACUCGUAAUUAUUAAAGUCCGGAUUUGAAUACACUAAAAUGUCUCUCUAAAAAAAAAAAAAAUGAAGCUAAACACUUAUUUUACCUCGAAAAUGCCCUAAAAAACUGUUUAAUUCGCUAUUUUAUAGAGUAGUUUAUAAUAUUCUAUAUUUAAAAUUUGACUUGUGACCAGCGGUGACAGUAUCGACUGCAGAGAGGCCGAUUGACUGGAAAACCCGAAACACGCGGAUAAUAUUUUGAAUCGACUAAAUUCAAAUGACUACACUAGUAUAUCGCGAUUAAGCGAAAAAAAAAUAAAUCUAAAAACGCAAAAAAUGGGGGGGGGGGAAAGGCGAACCGAAAGUUUCACCUUUGAAGUGUCUACGAGACAACAAACGCGCGUCGAAUUAUGCACGCGGAAUUGCGUUGUCAAACUGAAUCUCUAAGAGUAAAAAAAAAAAAAGACGCAUUUCGCGCAUUGAAAUCCGGGGGAGGGGAGGCUAAUAAUUCGCGGGCGAGAACCACGGCGUUCUCGGCGGGGACGCGAAUCGAAGCCGUUUGCUUUCCCACCCACCCCCCACCUCCUUUCCGUUUCGGCCGGACGCUUUGUCGCCGUCAUUAAUGCGGCGGCGCCCGCGAAAAUUCGUUACACGCCACACCGAAAUAUCGCGCGCGACAACAAUGCGGCGCGCGCGUUGUCAUUGCUGUUACACGGUCCGUUAGUACGGGCGGCUGCGGGCGGUCUCUUUUCGCGAAUAAUAAUAAUAUCGUGUUGACGUUAAUUUCUCCGCGGCGCGUCCGUUUCGCCGCCCCGUCGACGCGGCGCGGCGGGGCGUUAGGGGGCAUGUAUGGGGACCGGGCGGCGGCCGGGGAAAAAAAAAAAAAACAAAACACGUUAUCAUAACAAUACGGUAAAUACGCGGCGCGGCGACACCCCAAUAGUAGCGCCGCCGAGCCGAACGCUAAUGGCGUAUUAAAACCCGGCGCGCGUGUGCCGCGCAUUAUCCGCGCCCGCCGCCCCCCCCGGCACAACACGAUGGUGUACGCAGCGCGGACGACGGUUUUUAUUAUUGUUUCCCCCCUCCCCUCCACCGGACGGAUCGCGGAACGCGCGCGCAGAGAGUGAGUGAAAACCCUGCCACCUCCCCACCCGAGCGGAAAACAAUUACGCGCGAAAAGGGGUCGAACGGAGCGCGGCCCCUGCGCGGUUUUUCGGGUCCCGGUCUAAUUGUAUAUAUUAUACGGGCGAUGCGCCGACCGGCUUUUCGGCGUGUACACCAAACAACAACAACAAAAACGAUACGCGCACGACGUACGUAUAUAACGGCGAAACCGCCCGCUUCCGACCCCUCGGGCGCGUUUAUUAUCGAAACGUUCGUGAAAAAAAAAAAAACAAAUAAAUACAAUUUUCGGUUUUUUCUCUACUCCCCGCCACCGCGCAAUGUGCGUGUGUGUACAACGACGUCCGCACCCCUGUAGCGCACCACCGCCGCCGCCUAUUUUUUUUUUUUCGGUCGUCGAUUUCGCACGCCCGGGAAAAAUUCGGCGCG